RNAcentral lists this unclassified non-coding RNA (350 nucleotides) under soil metagenome. Its description in RNAcentral is "partial contains 5.8S ribosomal RNA, internal transcribed spacer 2, and large subunit ribosomal RNA". The stretch from base 1 to 120 matches the Rfam family "5.8S ribosomal RNA", at positions 35 to 154 of the family's 154-position model. The record is from RNAcentral.
GAUGAAGAACGUAGCGAAAUGCGAUAAGUAAUGUGAAUUGCAGAAUUCAGUGAAUCAUCGAAUCUUUGAACGCACAUUGCGCCCGCCAGUAUUCUGGCGGGCAUGCCUGUUCGAGCGUCAUUUCAACCCUCAGGCCCCCAGUGCCAGGUGUUGGGGAUCGGCAGCAGGGCGUCAAGCCCGCCGGCCCCGAAAUCUAGUGGCGGUCUCGCUGUAGUCCUCCUCUGCGUAGUAGCACAACCUCGCAGUUGGAACGCGGCGGUGGCCAUGCCGUUAAACACCCCACUUCUGAAAGUUGACCUCGGAUCAGGUAGGAAUACCCGCUGAACUUAAGCAUAUCAAUAAGCGGAGGA